AACGAACGCUGGCGGCAGGCCUAACACAUGCAAGUCGAGCGCCCCGCAAGGGGAGCGGCGGACGGGUGAGUAACGCGUGGGAACGUACCCUUUGCUACGGAAUAGCCUCGGGAAACUGGGAGUAAUACCGUAUGUGUCCUUCGGGAGAAAGAUUUAUCGGCAAGGGAUCGGCCCGCGUUGGAUUAGGUAGUUGGUGGGGUAAUGGCCUACCAAGCCGACGAUCCAUAGCUGGUUUGAGAGGAUGAUCAGCCACACUGGGACUGAGACACGGCCCAGACUCCUACGGGAAGCAGCAGUGGGGAAUCUUAGACAAUGGGCGCAAGCCUGAUCUAGCCAUGCCGCGUGAGCGAUGAAGGCCUUAGGGUUGUAAAGCUCUUUCAGGGGGGAAGAUAAUGACUGUACCCCCAGAAGAAGCCCCGGCUAACUCCGUG
RNAcentral lists this ribosomal RNA (431 nucleotides) under uncultured bacterium. RNAcentral describes it as "partial 16S ribosomal RNA". It matches the Rfam family "Bacterial small subunit ribosomal RNA", at positions 29 to 507 of the family's 1533-position model. The record is from RNAcentral.